This 254-nucleotide ribosomal RNA is filed under the name uncultured bacterium. RNAcentral describes it as "partial 16S ribosomal RNA". It matches the Rfam family "Bacterial small subunit ribosomal RNA", at positions 524 to 776 of the family's 1533-position model. The record is from RNAcentral.
UACGGAGGGGGCAAGCGUUGUUCGGAAUUACUGGGCGUAAAGGGCGCGCAGGCGGCUGCUCAAGUCAGGCGUGAAAGGCCUGGGCUCAACCCGGGAAUUGCGCUUGAGACUGGGCUGGCUUGAGUGCGGGAGAGGAUGGUGGAAUUCCCAGUGUAGAGGUGAAAUUCGUAGAUAUUGGGAAGAACACCGGUGGCGAAGGCGGCCAUCUGGACCGCAACUGACGCUGAGGCGCGAAGGCUAGGGGAGCGAACGGG